AUGCUUCUACCUUCUACAGUAGCUAAUAAAC
This 31-nucleotide non-coding RNA is filed under the name Rattus norvegicus (Norway rat). Lineage: Eukaryota; Metazoa; Chordata; Mammalia; Rodentia; Muridae. The record is from RNAcentral.